GCUACUACCGAUUGAAUGGUUUAGUGAGGACUCCUGAUUGGCGCCGCCGCCCCGGCAACGGAGCAGCGGACUGCCAAAAAGUUGUUCAAACUUGAUCAUUUAGAGGAAGUAAAAGUCGUAACAAGGUUUCCGUAGGUGAACCUGCAGAAGGAUCAUUCCAUAUAGCUACUACCGAUUGAAUGGUUUAGUGAGGACUCCUGAUUGGCGCCGCCGCCCCGGCAACGGAGCAGCGGACUGCCGAAAAGUUGUUCAAGCUUGAUCAUUUAGAGGAAGUAAAAGUCGUAACAAGGUUUCCGUAGGUGAACCUGCAGAAGGAUCA
Molecule: unclassified non-coding RNA, 319 nt
Filed under: sea anemone metagenome
Description: partial contains small subunit ribosomal RNA and internal transcribed spacer 1
Rfam family: Eukaryotic small subunit ribosomal RNA (bases 1-158)
Source: RNAcentral